Molecule: ribosomal RNA, 253 nt
Filed under: uncultured bacterium
Lineage: Bacteria
Description: partial 16S ribosomal RNA
Rfam family: Bacterial small subunit ribosomal RNA
Source: RNAcentral
UACGUAGGUGGCAAGCGUUGUCCGGAUUUACUGGGCGUAAAGCGCGCGUAGGCGGUUUGGAAAGUCCGUGGUGAAAUCUCCUGGCUCAACCAGGAGGGGUCUGCGGAUACUCCCAGACUUGAGUGCCGUAGAGGAAGAUGGAAUUCCAGGUGUAGCGGUGAAAUGCGUAGAUAUCUGGAGGAAUACCGGUGGCGAAGGCGGCAUCCUGGACCGGCAUUGACGCUGAGGAGCGAAAGCCAGGGGAGCAAACGGG